Molecule: long non-coding RNA, 212 nt
Filed under: Arabidopsis lyrata
Lineage: Eukaryota; Viridiplantae; Streptophyta; Magnoliopsida; Brassicales; Brassicaceae
Description: long non-coding RNA (ALYR_LNC002005)
Source: RNAcentral
GAAUCCAAUGUUGGUCAAUUUGUCCAAGGAAGACUUGAUGUUCUUCGGGAAAAUGAGCAAUGGUACACACGGCUUGAAUGGGGUGAGCUACGGCUUGACUAUUGUAGUAAACCCGAGUGUUCUUCCAAUUUGAUGGAGGGAACUUCUGUCUUUGACUUCUCCUUAGGGCUAUAGGCGCUUCUUGAGAUGUAGAGCCUUCAUUAUGAUCCGAU